AGCCUCUGCUCUGUACUUACUGGCGGGCAUUGUGCAAGUUUAUCAGCUGCCACCAACUGGACGUUCAAGUGUUUGCUUUGUGACUUCCCUCUGGACUUGAUCAGUCGCUGCAGAACCUGCCAGGAGGAAAGGGCAAAAGGUGCAGAUUCCACACUGCCCGUUCCCACCCUGCCCUCCAGCUCCCUCCUGGAUCUUAAGCCUCUUUUCCCAGCUGGAAUAUCCCGAGCUAACUGGGAAGGGCAGAACAUCCCAAAGAUGCAGCAGACACCUGCAAGGACUGAGGUGACACCAAGCCAGUGCUCCUAGCAAGGAAAUCCAAAUUAUCCUCUACAGCUCACCAGGAAAUGCUCCAGCUGAAGAUGAACCCUCCUUACAAUUCUUCUUCUGUGCUUUAUUUCUCAGCAUUUCCUUCUUCCAACCACCCUUUCCAGUAUUUUUGCCUACUUAAGGCAGACAAAAUAAAAUCUCAAAUAAGGAAUAUUUUAGAGCUGCUUUUUUCUGAAGUGUUGGGGAGACACUGAGACAGAUUUUUUGUGUUAAACUAAGAAAUCCUAGCCCAGCCAUGGCAGAAAUGCAGACAUGUGCACCCCUAGUAACACAAGAGCUGUGUCCCACUCUUCAGUGGUGACACAAAGCCAGAAAAUCAGCUUUGAUCAUGCAGCAAACCCUCUGGCAUUAAAAAAAAAA
Long non-coding RNA from Motacilla alba alba, 687 nucleotides. RefSeq lists it as uncharacterized. The transcript is spliced from 3 exons. NCBI's taxonomy places the organism in Eukaryota, Metazoa, Chordata, Aves, Passeriformes, Motacillidae. The record is from RefSeq and is a predicted model, not a curated record.